This is a long non-coding RNA of Cydia pomonella (codling moth), 402 nucleotides long. RefSeq lists it as uncharacterized. Lineage: Eukaryota; Metazoa; Arthropoda; Insecta; Lepidoptera; Tortricidae. The transcript has 2 exons. The record is from RefSeq and is a predicted model, not a curated record.
CACACUCUUUGCAGCAUCAGGCUUAUUUUUCUUAUUUGUCUAUUAUAAAUUCAAAUUCAAAAUUGACUUAAAAAAAAAGUAUUUGUCAUUCUGAUUACUUCAGGUUACUUAUUUAUACUGAUUUGGUUGUGUCGUUGAUGUGAUUUUCUAUUUAUUGUAAAUAUUUAUUAAAACAAUAUCAAAGGUAUAUUCCUCCCUUUUAUUCAUACAGUCCACCAUACCAUACCAUCUUUUUUAUUGGUACUUCACCUCAUUUAUUCAGUGCCUAUUUAGUUUGACAGUUACGUUUUCGUGUUUACAUUUCAUUUUCUUUCAUUGGUUACUUAUUUAUACUGAUUUGGUUGUGUCGUUGAUGUGAUUUUCUAUUUAUUGUAAAUAUUUAUUAAAACAAUAUCAAAGGUA